This 181-nucleotide ribosomal RNA is filed under the name uncultured bacterium. Its description in RNAcentral is "partial 16S ribosomal RNA". It matches the Rfam family "Bacterial small subunit ribosomal RNA", at positions 1320 to 1500 of the family's 1533-position model. The record is from RNAcentral.
AUGAAGCUGGAAUUGCUAGUAAUGGCAGGUCAGCAUACUGCCGUGAAUACGUUCCCGGGCCUUGUACACACCGCCCGUCACACCAUGAGAGUUGGGGAUACCCGAAGCCUGUGAGCCAACUGUAAAGAGGCAGCAGUCGAAGGUAGAAUCAAUGAUUGGGGUGAAGUCGUAACAAGGUAAC